RNAcentral lists this long non-coding RNA (1016 nucleotides) under Salmo salar (Atlantic salmon). Its description in RNAcentral is "lncRNA (ENSSSAG00000112255.1)". Lineage: Eukaryota; Metazoa; Chordata; Actinopteri; Salmoniformes; Salmonidae. The record is from RNAcentral.
CAGAAAUACCUAUUCAACACCAAGUGGUAAUUCAGUAAUUGUCAUGUAGUUUGCGGAAGUUCAAUCAGGAAGGCUGGUCUGAAUGCUCGUUUAACAUCAUCCAGUAAACAUAACAUAAUUCACUUUGUUUCCUAUUCUACGGGCUUAGUGGGAAGGCAUACAAAUGAUCAUCUUGUCUAUUCUCCUCCUUCCUAUUAGCCAUGUGCGGAAUGUCAUUCACCUAUUUACCCUAUAGCCUAUAAGCACGGCACAAUUAUGCACAUUCCGCACGCUUGCGGUUUAACAUAUGGGCUCACUCUUGCAAUUAUCACCUUCCUCUCGCUCAACCAAUGGGCAUAAAUCUUGGGAUGUAUUUAUAUGUCAAUUUACCCUCGUUCUCUCACUAACUGUUUUUCAGCAAAUGUUUUUGACAACCGUCCACCUCCACACCACCCCCAGCUAUAAUAACCUUAAGGUCCGUCAUUGGAACUCCUUUCCCCCUGGGGGGUGUUUUGAUACCAGCAGCCCCCCAUAGUGCUGUAUUCUGUAUUCUGGUCUAUGAGGGCCUAUUAACUAACGUCUGGAUUCCAUCAGUAUGGCGGAAGAGCCGCGUAAAGAUUUCAAGGUGUCCUGGAGGGCGGGCAGUGUGCCCUCGGUGAUGCGUUGGGCAGACCGCAACACCCUCUGGAGAGCCCUGCGGUUGCUGGAGGUGCAGUUGCCGUACCAGGCAGUGAUACAUAGCCUAUAACGCGGAUCUUCCCCGAUACUUCUGCCCUAAGUCUAUGUUUUAUUGACUUAAGUCCGUGUUAAGUCUACUUAUCUUAAGUCUGAAUCGGGCUCUGGGUGCAUAUACUUCCCAACAAAGACUGAUAGGAGUGGAACCCGGUGUGGUCGUCUGCUGCAAUAGCCCAUCCGUGACAACAAACCGACUAGUUGUGCAUUCCGGGAUGUCGUUCUGCACACCACUGUUGUACUGCACUGUUAUUUGCCUGUUUGUGGCCAGCCUAUUUGUGGCCCACUGACAAUACUGCCACAAC